CAUGUGCAGCUGCUGUCGUGUCUCUGCGCUGUCUGCAAGCACACUCUAACCACCAUGUGUAUACCUACGUGUCCCAUUGACUGUAUUUUUAAAUACGUGCUGUCCCUCUAGUGCUGCUGUUCUGCACUGAUGGCUCCUUUGCUGCGUGUGAAGAAUCUCCAUUUUUUGCCAAGAGGAAUCUGAAGGAACUGAGCGCCUGAAGAAUUUGCAUGGAAACAUUCAUCCCUCUCAAAACUGCCGGGCACCGCAUCCUCGGAGGAAGGGAGCGGCAGGAUCAGAGCGCGCUGGCGUGGAGUUGGGGCGACUGGUGAGUCUCCCCGUCGCACAGCAGUAAUUAGCGGAGCAGAGGAAAGCGAGCAGCCAGCCGCACAAGGCUGCUGCAGGGCUCGGGGUGGGUGAUGGGAUGCUGGUUCGCUGCCUCCAGCCCCAGCGAUGGGCGCUCUUAUCCCCUGCAGAGCAGGCUGGCAGCUAAGAGGGGGUGGGAACGAGGUCCCAGGCAGCCAGGAAAAUUGGAUGAUCGCACUGGGCUCGGAGGACACGUCUUCUGGAGACGUUAAUGCUGCAUAAUGUGCACUUCAUUCUUUCCAAGAGCAGCCGUGUGUUUGCCUGCUCAGUGCUCGACCGCAUGUGCGCAGGUAAAACCGCGCAUCCGUGUUUGAGUAGCCAAUUUGCAGCGAGUGUCCGUGUGAGCAUACGUGUUUGAUGGCAAAGUGUUCCUGCAUUAGUACCACGGCAACAAUUUUUAUUAACUGUCUGCUUUCCCUCCGGAGUGAUGUAACUCUGCUCCACGCAGCAGAGAUGGGUCCAAUUAAUCGGAUGGAUAAAAGUGGUUAAUGCGCCUUGGAGAAGUGUAAUUUAAUUGGAAAUGAUUAUUAUGUGCCACUCCUAUGUAAAGAGUGUGAGAAUCGGCACUAAUGACUCUGUUAUGAACGUGACUUUUAAUUACUAUAUGGUUCUGUGAUUUAAGUCUUUCCGGGUAUGCUUUUGUUUCCCCGAGAUUUCAGGUGGGAUGCUGAUUGCAACGACGCACUGGGGACGAACAAGGCACGUCCCAGUGAGUUGGGGCUGCCAGUCCUGUUUGUGCUGAGUCUCGGGUGGAACGGGAAUCGCUGAUUUGCCUUUGGAAUCUGCAGAGAUCGGCUCUGUUUGCCGUGUGCCGAGGACUCCUAGGCAGCAGCAUUCCUCGCUGGCGGCAUCAGCCCACACUCUGCCUCCUUCCUCGCUGCCGAUUCCCCGUUCGACUGAGGUUUGCUUCCCAGCACUUAUGCCUGCGGAGGCAAAAGCUGUUCUCCGUGGCGUUGUUUGCCCGGCAGUUUGGCGCUGCCUUUCUCACCACAUCUCUGCCCAUUCAAAUGCGAUCUGCAGGACAUCGUUGCCUCUUCCCUCGCUGCGUGCGCACGGAGCUAGAGGCAGCGCACACAGGUAGGUCGUGCUGAACGGCACGUGGGCUGCAGGCAGCUCUUUGUAACACCCACGGAGGCUGCGGAUGCUGUGGGAUUAAAGCUGGUGAUGUCGGUAAUAGUAACUAAGCUCCUAUACGUCCCCCUGCCACAGCAAAGAUUGUGUGCAGGGAUGUUGGCCCAUGGAGCUAAUGAGCAACAACUGGAUGAGAGAUGGAAAAUUAAACCUGUCUAACCUGCGAAGAAAGCAAGCUAAGGAAGGGAAACUUUCUCCCCGCAGAGCUGUGACAUACUCCCAGUUCACGGGCCACUUGUGGAGCCUUUUACAGCCCCUUGAGUUUUGCUGCAACACAGGAAUGGUGCUCACACAGAGGGUGAAGAUAUGUUUUUGUAAGGGAAUGGAAAAUGUGAGUAAAGAUAUCAGGCUGUCACCAGCACAAAUGUAACUGUGCAUUGUUUUCCUGUUUUCCAGGCUCCCGGACAAGUGCCUCUACAACCAACAAUUUUCCUGUCCUUUUUUUCCUUUGCUUUUACAAGUAUCUUAAACCAAACCCCUCCUUCCCAGCAGGAACAGAAUGCACUGUUGGGUACAGAAGGAAAAAAUCACAACUUUGAAUCCAUCAAGGAGAAACAGGGAAAAAAGUUUCUGUUGGAUGUAAACCCAAGCCAUGCCCACUGAGCUCCACGCGUUCCCCUGACCGGCUCCUGCCCGAGCCGGGGAGCGACCGUUCCCACUUCCCUUGGAGAAGGAGCUCAGCAGCCCUGAACUACAGCCCUGUGACCCCCAGCUGGUCCCAGCUCCGCUGUGCCAACCUCUGGGCAAAAGUGAAGUGGGGAAUGAACGUGUGAUAUGACCCUCACUGCCCGUUCUCUGUUGCGUCGCAUGGAGUCUCGUGCAGGGAUUAAAUUAGCCCUGGCUGCUGCAGGCUGAGCGUGGGUCAUGACCGGAGCAAGUGGCCAGUGCUGGGAACUGCUUCUAAUGACUUUGUCCUCUCCCUCUUUCUGUCUCCUCCUCCCACAGGGAGCAGAGAAGAAGUAUAUCUGUUUGCUGGAGCCAGAGGAGCGAGGGUGGACUGCCUGUGCCCAGGGUCCCUCAGAACGUACAGAUGAGCUGGGUGCCCAUCCCGCCGUGCUGAAAUGAGGUGAGCCAGCACAGCGGUGUGCAGGGCACAGCCCCGUGCUGGGGUGACCAAGGAGGAGGCGCUCUGAAGAUGCCGAAGGCAGAAACCUCACCGCCAUCCAACAGGUAACGACAGCCCGAGGAGGGGACAGGCAGCAGCAUGGUAAUUCUGCUUUUGCAUUUCAAAUGUGUGCAUUGCGGAUGGCUCAGUGUACAGGGGAGAGGGAGGGACAGAUGGGACAGUGGAUCUGAGACAGUCCGUGACUUUGUGUUUGUGCCACCUCUCAGGCCAUUCCCAGGCCGGCAGGUCCCUACCACCACUCAAGACCUGUCAAAGGAAUUAGGAAAGACACAACCUGUAAAUAAUGAAGCCCAAGACACGCUAUGUAAAUUCAAGCACAGAAGGAGAAAGCCCAUGCGGGCUCACCAUUUUCCUUGACAGUCUCCACUUCGCACCUUGAAUUUCGUAAGCCAUUAUUUUCCUCUCUAGUAGCGAUGUACAACAAAGGCAGAGUGAGCGGGCUCCGAGGGAUCACAGACAGCCCUCAAAGCAGCAUCUUUGCCGUGCAGAAUCAAAACCCAGCUCUUGUUAUUUAUUCACCGCAGAGUAAAAGGAACCCCCUGCACCCCCGCGAGGAGGAAGAAAGGGGGGGCAGGGGGUGCGCAUGUGCAUGGGUGUGCAUGAGAGGUGGGAGGCACCCCGCAGCCGCACGCCCCGUGCUGCCGAGCAGGACUCUCACGUGUCGGUCCAAGAGCGUGCCGAGCCCAGGCAGCCCCGGGAGCUCUGCCGUUCUCUCCUCCGUGCAGCCUGGGCUCCAGCCCGCCGAGCUGAUUGUUUAUUUAAGUGCAUUUGAAAUGCGUACAGAAGAUCUACCCCAGAACCGAGGCAUCUUGGCAGGCUGGUGCCUGGGGGAGUCCAGGAGAGGCCGGUGGGGGGCUCUGACCCCCCUGCCAGGACGUGCUGGGGCUGCGGCUGUGGAUCUGCUCACCCGGGGCGAGUGAGUGCGCGUGGGAUGGUUGGGCACCGUCCUUGCCCGCUCCCACUCCCACUGGGGUGGCACAAGUGAUGCUGUGAUGAACAUGUCCUCCCCCCUGGGCAGCCCUCCCUGCCAGCAGGCUCCUGAGAGCUUUGGGCUGGGCCGUGGUGCUGCCAACACACCUUGUGCCCCUUUAUUUCCAUAUUUUUUUGCUUUUGGCUUAGACUGAAGCUAAGGAUUGAUGAUGCACGUGAAAACCAAACGCGCCAGCCCGCAAAAGCACUGCAGCCCCUGCUGGAGAUUUCACUUGAGCGCAGCAGAUCUCAUCUUUCAAGCGCUCCUUUUAAUUGCGGUCUCAACCUGCCGCCGGGGGCUGAGCAGCUUCUGGAGCCACCCUCGGUGCGAGGGAGAUCUUUGGGCUCUUUCAGCGUGCUGCUGGCAGGAGACUCGGACGCUGCCGGCCUCCGGCCGCAGUCCGCAGGCUGCGUCGUAGGGAUGCCUGCUUUCCUUGUGCCUCUGAAGAUGGAAAGCUGUCGGAGAGGGGCCCGGUCUGUGCGAUCCGAUUUGUUUCCCGCGGCAGGUCAAAGUGAGUGUUAGUCUCCCGGCUGCAGGCGCAUCGAUCCGCCUCCCUCGGGACCAUGUGCAAAUACAGACGGGAGGGAAGGAGGCGGCUGCGGAGCAUGUUUUCAUUCUGUCCUCGUGGCCGCCGUGGGAGAAAGGCAGGCAGGCUAGACAGGCACAGCGGUGGGGAGUUUACCGAGGGACACGGCUAAUUGCGUCUCCAGGUUUGUCUCUUCCCCAGCAGGUGCCCAGAGCUUUCCAACCACAGUCUCUCCAUCAGCAGAGAUUCCUUUUAAAACCUGUUUCAGGAGCCCACAGGGGGAAGCUGUAACCCCGGGCACUGCAAGGCCAAGAAGAGUCUGUCCUUCUGCAGCUGGGGGAGGCUUGGACCUGGGACAGGACCCGGGGGGGCAGUGGCCCGCAGGGGUCCCACCGCAGUCCUGCCAGCGAACGGGGCAGGGCACUGGCGGUGCUGCUCCUCUGAGUGCACUUGCAAACUGAGCUGAUUUAAUAAACAACAGGAGUGUUUUCCCAGACCCCAUGCUGAGCUGUAUUCAAAAUACAUUUGUACGAACAUCAAUUUUUAAUGCAAUUUAUGCCAAAUGUUGUUGCAAAAAGCAGCCGUUAACAUGACAUUAAUUCAAUCACUGGAAAUACAGUACGUGCUGCUAAAUGAAAACAUGUUAUUAGUCAAUUAGAUUAACUGGAUGUAACUCCUCCAAACGCAAUGUAUUAUGGUUUCUACAUGGUUAAUUACGUUGUACAAAUUACAUGGCAAUAAGGCUUAGCGCUGGACACACACAUACAUUUAAUACAUAAGCAGAAAAAACAGCUUGCAAUUCACAGUUGAACUCCGCAAAAAAUUAUUUGAAAUAUAAAUAUCUUGCAAGCUUGUAAUAAAGAGACAGAAUUAUGCUGAUAUUAUAAUAGGA
Molecule: long non-coding RNA, 4990 nt
Organism: Chroicocephalus ridibundus (black-headed gull)
Lineage: Eukaryota; Metazoa; Chordata; Aves; Charadriiformes; Laridae
Exons: 3
Source: RefSeq, a predicted model, not a curated record